This 530-nucleotide long non-coding RNA is filed under the name Setaria viridis. RNAcentral describes it as "long non-coding RNA (SVIR_LNC000627)". Lineage: Eukaryota; Viridiplantae; Streptophyta; Magnoliopsida; Poales; Poaceae. The record is from RNAcentral.
AUUAGAUAACAUCAUCAUCAUCAUUCACAUUUCCUUUCAUUCCACUUCUUCCUACAAUAUGACGCAGUGAUCAAGAUUCUCUUAACCAAGAGAUACGGCAAAUCGAUUUGAUUUAUAACCUUGUAAGGUGGAUCUAAUCACAUGCCAUAUGCAUGCCCCGUUGAGCCGCACAUGAUAGACGGUUCCCUUAGAGGGCAAUAGCAUUUGAGCCACUCUACGACCCUCAAGCGCUAGUCCCCAUCGGUAUCCCCGGGUCACUCAUGAGUUAUAGACUACCACUCAAAUAGGUAAUAGGACCGAACUCAAUCUACCAUCGUGCAAUAAGGUACUAGAUUUUACCGGUUUCAACUACCUCUUACUUCCAGCAUGUGAAUUAGUACAGUUCAAACUUGGUCAACGGGGCCAACAACAGACAUGUCUUAAUUGACACAGGCGGAGCGCAACCAACAACAACAACAUCAACAUUUCUAUCUCCACCCAGUCUCCAACUUUUCUCAUGUGGAUCAUUUCAUUUCAAAUUUAACAUAACU